This 429-nucleotide ribosomal RNA is filed under the name uncultured bacterium. RNAcentral describes it as "bacterial SSU rRNA". It matches the Rfam family "Bacterial small subunit ribosomal RNA", at positions 29 to 506 of the family's 1533-position model. The record is from RNAcentral.
ACGAACGCUGGCGGCAUGCCUAACACAUGCAAGUCGAACGCCCCGCAAGGGGAGUGGCGCACGGGUGAGUAACGCGUGGGAACCUGCCCAGCGGUGUGGAAUAACUCCGGGAAACUGGAGCUAAUACCGCAUACGCCCUACGGGGGAAAGAUUUAUCGCCGUUGGAGGGGCCCGCGUCGGAUUAGCUAGUUGGUGGGGUAAUGGCCUACCAAGGCGACGAUCCGUAGCUGGUCUGAGAGGACGACCAGCCACACUGGGACUGAGACACGGCCCAGACUCCUACGGGAGGCAGCAGUGGGGAAUAUUGGACAAUGGGGGCAACCCUGAUCCAGCAAUGCCGCGUGAGUGAUGAAGGCCUUAGGGUUGUAAAGCUCUUUCGGCGGGGACGAUGAUGACGGUACCCGCAGAAGAAGCCCCGGCUAACUUCGU